GAUGAACGCUGGCGGCGUGCCUAAUACAUGCAAGUCGAGCGAACAGACGAGGAGCUUGCUCCUCUGACGUUAGCGGUGGACGGGUGAGUAACACGUGGAUAACCUACCUAUAAGACUGGGAUAACUUCGGGAAACCGGAGCUAAUACCGGAUAACAUGUUGAACCGCAUGGUUCAACAGUGAAAGACGGUCUUGUUGUCACUUAUAGAUGGAUCCGCGCCGCAUUAGCUAGUUGGUAAGGUAACGGCUUACCAAGGCAACGAUGCGUAGCCGACCUGAGAGGGUGAUCGGCCACACUGGAACUGAGACACGGUCCAGACUCCUACGGGAGGCAGCAGUAGGGAAUCUUCCGCAAUGGGCGAAAGCCUGACGGAGCAACGCCGCGUGAGUGAAGAAGGUCUUCGGAUCGUAAAACUCUGUUAUUAGGGAAGAACAAAUGUGUAAGUAACUAUGCACGUCUUGACGGUACCUAAUCAGAAAGCCACGGCUAACUACGUG
RNAcentral lists this ribosomal RNA (497 nucleotides) under uncultured bacterium. RNAcentral's name for it is "partial 16S ribosomal RNA". It matches the Rfam family "Bacterial small subunit ribosomal RNA", at positions 28 to 507 of the family's 1533-position model. The record is from RNAcentral.